RNAcentral lists this ribosomal RNA (390 nucleotides) under uncultured bacterium. RNAcentral describes it as "bacterial SSU rRNA". It matches the Rfam family "Bacterial small subunit ribosomal RNA", at positions 30 to 420 of the family's 1533-position model. The record is from RNAcentral.
AUUGAACGCUGGCGGCAUGCUUUACACAUGCAAGUCGAACGGCAGCGCGGGCUUCGGCCUGGCGGCGAGUGGCGAACGGGUGAGUAAUAUAUCGGAACGUACCCAAGAGUGGGGGAUAACGUAGCGAAAGUUACGCUAAUACCGCAUACGAUCUAAGGAUGAAAGCAGGGGAUCGCAAGACCUUGUGCUCCUGGAGCGGCCGAUAUCUGAUUAGCUAGUUGGUGGGGUAAAGGCCCACCAAGGCAACGAUCAGUAGCUGGUCUGAGAGGACGACCAGCCACACUGGAACUGAGACACGGUCCAGACUCCUACGGAAGGCAGCAGUGGGGAAUUUUGGACAAUGGGGGCAACCCUGAUCCAGCAAUGCCGCGUGAGUGAAGAAGGCCUCGG